Betta splendens (Siamese fighting fish) is the source of this 558-nucleotide long non-coding RNA. RefSeq lists it as uncharacterized. The record is from RefSeq and is a predicted model, not a curated record. The transcript has 3 exons. Lineage: Eukaryota; Metazoa; Chordata; Actinopteri; Anabantiformes; Osphronemidae.
CUGGCCUCAUAGCACAUAUCCUAACAAACAGAAAUAGCCUCUUCCCUUCAGUCUUUUCAAAAUAAGAGCGUGUCAGAAAGCACAGGAGGACACUCGCUUUUCGGCGGGAGCCUGAACGAAACAGAAAGACUUUAGACUCAGCAGAGAGUCAGAGUGAGGACUGUGACCUUCACCUCCAUCUUACCUGUGGGGUCGAUGGUGGAGACCAGGACCAGCAGGCCAGCAAUCCACGCCCGGACCUGCAUUCUCUUCUUUCCCGAGACACGGCUUGACUCUUGAGCUGUUCUGUGUCUCUGGCGUCAACGUGAAACGACUGAGCCCAGCUUGAGUCGUCCUCCGUCGUCUCUGAGUGGAACAGGAAGUGGUGAGAGGCUGCUCUGCCAGAUGCUCAGUGUCAUUGGCCUCCAUUGGCCUUCUGCGACGGCCCACGGCAGCUUCAACUGUAUUUAUUUGUACAUGUAACAUGUAAAAGAGAUGUCAGAAAUGAAUGAGCAAAAAGAAAGAGAUAAUAGUUGUGUAGUUGUGCUGUAUUUAGCUUAAGAGCCAUAACAAUGAUGA